RNAcentral lists this ribosomal RNA (1693 nucleotides) under Acinetobacter baumannii 730795. RNAcentral's name for it is "bacterial LSU rRNA". It matches the Rfam family "Bacterial large subunit ribosomal RNA", at positions 1253 to 2925 of the family's 2925-position model. The record is from RNAcentral. Lineage: Bacteria; Pseudomonadati; Pseudomonadota; Gammaproteobacteria; Moraxellales; Moraxellaceae.
AAGGUGUAUUGAGAAGUAUGCUGGAGGUAUCAGAAGUGCGAAUGCUGACGUGAGUAACGACAAAACGGGUGAAAAACCCGUUCGCCGAAAGACCAAGGGUUCCAGUCCAACGUUAAUCGGGGCUGGGUGAGUCGACCCCUAAGGCGAGGCCGAAAGGCGUAGUCGAUGGGAAAAUGGUUAAUAUUCCAUUACUUCUGUGUAAUGCGAUGAGAGGACGGAGAAGGCUAAAUCAGCCUGGCGUUGGUUGUCCAGGUGAAAGGAUGUAGGCAUGUAUCUUAGGCAAAUCCGGGGUACUCUAUGCUGAGAUCUGAUAGCAAGCUGUACUUGUACAGCGAAGUGGUUGAUGCCAUGCUUCCAGGAAAAGUCUCUAAGCUUCAGUUACACAGGAAUCGUACCCGAAACCGACACAGGUGGUCAGGUCGAGUAGACCAAGGCGCUUGAGAGAACUCUGCUGAAGGAACUAGGCAAAAUGGUACCGUAACUUCGGGAGAAGGUACGCUGUUGUUGGUGAUGGAACUCGCUUCCUGAGCUGACGACAGCCGCAGAAACCAGGCCGCUGCAACUGUUUAUUAAAAACAUAGCACUCUGCAAACACGAAAGUGGACGUAUAGGGUGUGAUGCCUGCCCGGUGCUGGAAGGUUAAUUGAUGGGGUUAGCGUAAGCGAAGCUCUUGAUCGAAGCCCCAGUAAACGGCGGCCGUAACUAUAACGGUCCUAAGGUAGCGAAAUUCCUUGUCGGGUAAGUUCCGACCUGCACGAAUGGCAUAAUGAUGGCGGCGCUGUCUCCAGCAGAGGCUCAGUGAAAUCGAAAUCGCUGUGAAGAUGCAGUGUACCCGCGGCUAGACGGAAAGACCCCGUGAACCUUUACUGCAGCUUGACACUGAACUUUGACCUUACUUGUGUAGGAUAGGUGGGAGGCUUUGAAGCUGGAACGCUAGUUCCAGUGGAGCCGUCCUUGAAAUACCACCCUGGUAAUGUUGAGGUUCUAACUCUGUCCCGUGAUCCGGGACGAGGACCGUGUCUGGUGGGUAGUUUGACUGGGGCGGUCUCCUCCUAAAGAGUAACGGAGGAGUACGAAGGUGCGCUCAGCGUGGUCGGAAAUCACGCGUAGAGUAUAAAGGCAAAAGCGCGCUUAACUGCGAGACCCACAAGUCGAGCAGGUACGAAAGUAGGUCUUAGUGAUCCGGUGGUUCUGUAUGGAAGGGCCAUCGCUCAACGGAUAAAAGGUACUCUGGGGAUAACAGGCUGAUACCGCCCAAGAGUUCAUAUCGACGGCGGUGUUUGGCACCUCGAUGUCGGCUCAUCUCAUCCUGGGGCUGAAGCAGGUCCCAAGGGUAUGGCUGUUCGCCAUUUAAAGAGGUACGCGAGCUGGGUUUAGAACGUCGUGAGACAGUUCGGUCCCUAUCUACCGUGGGCGCUGGAAAUUUGAGAGGAUCUGCUCCUAGUACGAGAGGACCAGAGUGGACGAACCUCUGGUGUACCGGUUGUGACGCCAGUCGCAUCGCCGGGUAGCUAUGUUCGGAAGGGAUAACCGCUGAAAGCAUCUAAGCGGGAAGCCUACCUCAAGAUAAGAUUUCCCUAGGACUUUAUGUCCUCUAAAGAGCCGUUCGAGACUAGGACGUUGAUAGGUUGGAUGUGGAAGCAUAGUGAUAUGUGAAGCUGACCAAUACUAAUUGCUCGUGAGGCUUGACUAU